Molecule: ribosomal RNA, 942 nt
Filed under: Triticum aestivum (bread wheat)
Lineage: Eukaryota; Viridiplantae; Streptophyta; Magnoliopsida; Poales; Poaceae
Description: partial small subunit ribosomal RNA
Source: RNAcentral
AUGGGUCGGCUUCCGAAGAAGGUGACCCUGGGGUACGUCCGCGACGACUCGACCCGGCGCUCUAGGUACAAGCAGCGUCUGAAGGGGCUGAUGAAGAAGGCGGGCGAGCUGGGCACCCUGUGCGACGUCGAGACCUGCGUGGUGGUGUACAGCGAGGGCGGGGCGGCGCCUGAGGUGUUUCCUUCCCCUGACAAGGCGGUGGGUAUCCUGAAUGGAUUCAAGAGCAUGCCGGAGCUGGGGCAUUGCAAGAAGACGAUGGACCAGGAGGGCUUACUCACCGAGGGCAUCGCCAAGCUCCAGGAGAAAGUCGACAAGUCCCGCCGCGAAUGCCAGGACCGCGAGACCAGGUACCUCCUGCAACAGAUCAUGGACGGGAACCUCCCGGGCCUCGUUGGCAUCAGCGUGGAGCAGCUCGCCCGCGUUGGCUACAAGGUGGAGGAGCUGAUCAAGAGCUUGGGCGAACUCAUGGGGAAAACUCAUUCCCAGGCGCCGCCGCCAGCUCCAUGCGUCACCACCGGCAGCAUAGACAUGGGGUCUCCGGCGCUGUAUCAGGCGCCAGAACAACAGCAGGAGGGCACCCUGGUCGGUGGCUACGCUGGUGGUCACGACGGGGCCGACUUCACCGGCAGUGAUACGGUGGUGCAGAUGCAGUCCUUCAAUCUGGAGUUUGGUUCGAGUUAUUUCCCUCCCAUGUACCAGGCGCCGCCGCCAGCUCCAUGGGUCACCACCGGCAGCGUAGACAUGGGGUCUACAGCGCUGCAUCAGGCGCCAGUGCAGCGGCAGGAGGGCACGCUGCUGAGCUCCGGAGGGGAUCUUGGCACCCUGGUCUACGGUGGCUACGCUGGUGGCCACGAAGGGGCCGGCUUCACCGGCAGUGAUAUGGUGAUGCAGAUGCAGUCGUUCAAUCUGGAGUUCGAUUGGAGUCAGUUCCCUCCCAUGUAA